This is a long non-coding RNA of Dreissena polymorpha, 660 nucleotides long. RefSeq lists it as uncharacterized. The record is from RefSeq and is a predicted model, not a curated record. Lineage: Eukaryota; Metazoa; Mollusca; Bivalvia; Myida; Dreissenidae. The transcript has 3 exons.
ACAGGUAGCAUGCAACCAGGCAUUUUUUCCAACAAAAGCGAAUCUGGUGGAAAUCAAUGACCAGGAAGAGAAUCAUUUCCUUUAUCAACAAUCUAAGGCAACUCAAAAAAAUUACUGGGUAGGAGCCUCGGACUUGCAGAUUGCUGGAAUGUACCGGUGGCUCAACUCGGGAAAAGUAGUUAGCGCUUCUAGCAGUCAAUGGCGACCUGGCGAACCUAGCCGAGGGAAUGAACACUGCAUGGAUAUUAUGUACCAGGCACCUACAUCAAAUUGUUGGAACAACGAAUCCUGUACCGCUCACCAUUAUUUUAUCUGCGAGACUCCAGUGAAAUAAGCAAGUGUGUUUAAAGCCAAUAAUAUGACAACUCUGAUUCCGUCAAGGAUUAAUAUGUUCAUGUGUUAUUUUUAUAAACUUAAUUUUUGUUUAUUCUUUCAGAAGACCAAUGCGUUUAUAUACUUCUCAAAUAAUGUCGAAGUUGCAUGCAAUGAAUAAAUAAUUGUACAAGUAAAGCGUCAUAUUUCAUUAUAUAUCAUGAGUGCUCAAACAUUUUAAUCAUAUUUUUUUUACAUUUAUUACAAAUUUCCUAAAAAUUUAUGUCAGGAUGUAAGGCAUUGAACGACUUUUUCAAACUCGACAUAAAAAUAACAUUUUAAAAGAUA